This 444-nucleotide ribosomal RNA is filed under the name uncultured bacterium. RNAcentral describes it as "partial 16S ribosomal RNA". It matches the Rfam family "Bacterial small subunit ribosomal RNA", at positions 354 to 796 of the family's 1533-position model. The record is from RNAcentral.
GUAGGGAAUAUUGGGCAAUGGUCGGAAGACUGACCCAGCCAUGCCGCGUGCAGGAAGACGGCCCUCUGGGUUGUAAACUGCUUUUAUCUGGGAAGAAAAAGGCCAUGCGUGGCAAAUUGCCGGUACCAGAUGAAUAAGCACCGGCUAACUCCGUGCCAGCAGCCGCGGUAAUACGGAGGGUGCGAGCGUUGUCCGGAUUUAUUGGGUUUAAAGGGUGCGUAUGCGGCUGAUUAAGUCAGCGGUGAAAGACUUCGGCUUAACCGGAGCAGGUCCGUUGAUACUGGUUGGCUUGAGUGUCUGAGGGGUACAUGGAAUUGAUGGUGUAGCGGUGAAAUGCAUAGAUACCAUCAGGAACACCGAUAGCGAAGGCAUUGUACUGGCCGACAACUGACGCUGAUGCACGAAAGUGUGGGGAUCGAACAGGAUUAGAAACCCGUGUAGUCC